GAUGAACGCUGGCGGCGUGCCUAAUACAUGCAAGUCGAACGCACAGCGAAAGGUGCUUGCAUCUUUCAAGUGAGUGGCGAACGGGUGAGUAACACGUGGAUAACCUACCUCAAGGUUGGGGAUAACAUUUGGAAACAGAUGCUAAUACCGAAUAAAACUUCGUAUCGCAUGAUACAAGGUUAAAAGGCGCUACGGGCGUCACCUAGAGAUGGAUCCGCGGUGCAUUAGUUAGUUGGUGGGUAAAGGCCUACCAAGACAAUGAUGCAUAGCCGAGUUGAGAGACUGAUCGGCCACAUUGGGACUGAGACACGGCCCAAACUCCUACGGGAGGCUGGCAGUAGGGAAUCUUCCACAAUGGGCGAAAGCCUGAUGGAGCAACGCCGCGUGUGUGAUGAAGGCUUUC
Molecule: ribosomal RNA, 403 nt
Filed under: uncultured bacterium
Lineage: Bacteria
Description: bacterial SSU rRNA
Rfam family: Bacterial small subunit ribosomal RNA
Source: RNAcentral